Coturnix japonica (Japanese quail) is the source of this 4614-nucleotide long non-coding RNA. The record is from Ensembl. NCBI's taxonomy places the organism in Eukaryota, Metazoa, Chordata, Aves, Galliformes, Phasianidae.
AUAGUUUAAGAACAAUGAGCAUGGUCACCAGGACAGCUUCUUAUAAUCCAAAGAAAGGCUUGAAGAUACUUUGCUGCUCUGAGACCCGGCCUUGGCACGAAGCUGCACUGUUCAGAAGAAGCAAGAUUCCUUCCUCACAGCUACGGCGCUGCGACACAGCCUGCUUUUUCGCAUUUACCUGGGUGGCUGCUGCUGGUUCUGCUGCUGCCGCUGCAGCCUCGCUGCCUGCGCUUCACCCCAGCUUGGCUGAUGCGAGUCUCCCUCAUCUGUACAUCGCUAAGGAAGAGAAGCGAUGGAGCCGCAAUUUUUCUGUUGGUUCUGGAAGCAAAGGGUUGUGAUGUGGGGUGGCUUGGGGGGGUUUUCUUUUUUUAUGUUUUUUUGGUGGGGAAAGAAAGGAGGGAUAUUAAUAUAGGGUGGAGUGGGUAAAAGCUUAAAGAAAUAUGAUGAAAAGUAAUCCAGUCCUCAACAAGGGCAUCAGCAGCAAGAAUCCAGCCACUGCUGCUCCAAAGGAGGAUGGGGAAAGCCACAGAGCUGCAGUCGAGUUGCACCUCAGCGUUGUGCUGGAGAUGGAUAAACAAGGUAUUGGUUGUAUCUGCCUGCUAAGGCAAAGCCAUGGGAGGAAGAGAGAGCGAGAGAGUGUGUGCAAAUGCAGUGGAAGAAGAAACGCUGCAUGCUGUUUGUCUGAUUCUGUGCAUUCUCACUGUGGAGAGGAUGGCGUGAUUAAGAAAGAAAUGUAUGGAUGGAGGCACUGUGAAUUGUAGCUCCAGCACUCCUGAUGCUGUCAGGGAGGGAACUGAUGAGCUAGGUGGCUGCAGCAGUAUCCCCAGGGAAAACAGCGGCCAUGCUGUGUAUGUAUGUGCUUAUGUAUGUGUGCUUAUGUGUGUGGGAGCAUGUACAGGCAUGAAAGAAAGGCAUUUCUGACCAAUUUACUGAGGAAGCUUGUCACUUUGAUGGUCAGACUUGAUUGCAGCUUGUAUUUUCAGCUCUAGUUCUACACCCAAUUCCUGAGUGAGGCGGCACUUUGUGAAUGCAGAUGUAGGCAGAAUUCUUCUAAGAAAUGUGAAAGCAGAUUCUGUUUAACACCUUGGAGCACUGAAUCUAUUGCACUGUGUUGAGAGAAGCUAAGGAGGGAGGGGUCAUUUUCUCCAUCUUAAAAUCUUUAUAAACACGGCUAUAUUCAGUAUGGCAAAAAAAAAUUCUAUGCAAAAAAAAAUUCUAUGCUGUAAAUAGAAAUGUGAUCAAUCUAAUCAAAACAAAUGCAUCCCAGAUGACUUCUAGACCAGCUGGCUACCACAGUCAUCGGAUGGCUAAAUGCUCAACUGAGCAUUUAUAGUCAGCAUUAUAUCUCUUUUUUUUUCUUUUUUCUUUCUUUUUUUUUUUUUUUUUUUUUGAUUAAGAAUUUUAUAAUCAGCUUCUGAUUAAAAAUGAUUAUUCCUCUAUUGAAAAGAGACAGCAGUUAGCAACAGAUUUUUCUGAAAUGCACCUAUUUUUUUUUGUUUGUUUUUUUGUUAUUGUCAUUUGAUUGGCUUGGGCUCUUUUUGUUUAUCUGUUUGGUUUAUAUUUCUGCGCAUGCAUUGAGGAGACUGUGCUUUUAGAACAGGGACACUUGUCACAGUGCUUGGCAUACUGAGUUCAGCUGGUAGCUCGGGUUGCCCAUGUCUGAACAAUGCAAAAAUAGGGAAAACAAGUACUGCAGUCAGCUAGUAGGACUUGGCGUGGCUUUUAGCAGCUGCCUACUGAGAAAGAGGUUUCUUUUUUCCUUUUAUUUUUUUCCCUUUUAUACAAAUCCGUAGACCAUAAUGUCAUCCUAAAAUGCGUACGAGGGGAUUUCCCAAUAGUCAUGGUGAGCUACCCUGCAAGAUGCCUGUCUGGCCCUUCCACUGUUUGUUACCCUGUCUACAAAGGCUGCCCUGUGUGUUGGAUUAUAUUUAGCCAGCUGCUGGGUAACAUUCUUGUGCUGGGGGCAAAGGAGUCUUAUUACUCCCAUACUGUAGUUUUGUGCUUUCUUAAAGAAAAACAACCUUGGCAAGACAGCAGGCUCUGAAAAGAAGUGUAUACUGCUCCUGCACCUUUCUGAAACUGCCGUGCUUCUAACUCAGACUGUUUUAAAGCAAGCGAGCAGGAGGAAGAGUGGCUUUUAGCUCAUAGCUUCAAAGCUGCAAAAUGUCAGCACCUUGUAAUUAGGAACCCGUGGUUACGUCAGGGACUGUAUCUCUCCAAGAAUAGCUGUGUGAUAUGUGCCACAAAGCAAAGGAAGGCAGUCAUAACCUGGUUCUCGAGCCUGCUUUGAACAAGAGAGUGAAAUGGAUUAAUGAAUCGGCUGCAUUUGUAAAUCAGAGCUGGAUGGAUUACAUGUAUAAGACUGGCUGCACUCUGCAAAAGUGAAGACUGAAUUAUCGGUUUGUCAGAGGGCACAUGUUCGCUGAGUGGAAGUGUGAAUCCUUCGGAAGAAAUGCAGACAAGCCAUCUGUCCUAGAAAAUGUCAUUCCUGUCUCCAUCUUGCAAAGGAGGCUGUGUGCCACGAGGCAUGGGAAGGAGUGACCGGCCAGCCGCACCAAGGUGUUUAAAAGCACGCGUCAAAUUAAGCACAAAGCCAGCACACCAAAACUCGGCUCUGGCUUUGCAGAUUUGAUGUUGAAAUACCACCCCAGUGCAGACCUACUGCGAUCAGGUGUGGUUUUUAUUAAGGCUUCUCUGGCUGAGGAAUGGUGCAAAAAAAGCCUUAGCACAACAUCUUGCAGCCAAACGUGGUCCUGGGGGUGCACAGGGAAUGCUGCAGUGCGGGGCUGCCUAUUCCGCAGGGAUAUGCCUGGAGCUUUCUGACCCCUGCUGUUGUUUUUCGGUCUGGGCUGGCGGCUCCACAGCACUUAAGCGCUGAGAUUGCAGGGGUGCUUACCCUGCUUUGACCAGCCUUUCCCUGUGCUGUGACUGGAGAUGUUUACAUGGCUUUUAUCGACAGCCCUUCACCAGUCAGUGUGCAUUGCUGCCUGUUUCUGGCAGCCUGGCAUGGUUCCCUGGUCCCAGCACAAGUCAGCUGCAGUCCUGCUCUUUGUGCUGUUCUUUAGAUUACCAGGAUAGGUAGAUUGUAUUAUGGAAACACUGGUUGUGGGUUCUGUUUGUUGGGUUUUUUUUGUUUUUCUUUUUUUUUUUUUUUUACCCUGACCGUGAACACAAAUUUGUAGGAGGAGAUGACUCUGUAUAUUAAACCAAUAGCUCUUUGAAUUGUGUGUAGUAUAAUUUAAAUAUACUUACUUUAAUUAGUAGGAGCUUACAAAAGCCGGCAUUGUCUGGGGCUGUUUAAUUUACAUCGUGGCCUCUGUCAAUGAGCACAACUUGCCUGAACAGAUUGCCAUAUUCUGCGCAGCCGGCAGGGUGGAAGGCGUUACUUUGUUUGUGUUCCUUCCAACAGCUGGUCAUUAAUGCAGGCCCCAUCUCCAGAGUGAAGUGCUGGUGGACAUGAAUGGCCGCCUGAUUAAUGCUGCCCCUCGACGGCUCCUUCCUCCUGCAGUGAUGCUCGCAGCAGAAUAAUGCAGCGUGAUUUGAUUGCGCUCUAACAGGGCAGUAUGUCAUUGUGUCACCAAGCAAUUGAGGUUAUUAUGGGGCAGGGCAGACAGACGGGACAGUGGGGUUACUAGACCGUGGCAUUUUUAGAAAUGCAGGCCUGACCUACUUAGAGUUAUUCUUGCUGGCUGGCAGCUGCAUGGUGCAUGGCUUGUCCUGAUAGGCUGAGGCUGUUGCUAGGGGGAAUUAGCAUGAAUUUUUCCACAUACAGACUCUGUGAUUGAAUGAUAAAAGCUGACUGGAAUUAAAGAGAUUCGGUUCAGUAUUAUGCAGAUUUAUCUCCCUUGUUUUUUCCUCUCUCAAAUACAUAAAAAGGAGAAGACGACUGUUUCCAUUCAUUUUUGACCUAUAUAUAUAUAUAUAUUUUUUUUUUUAAUUUUAUUUUAUUUUUUCCAGAGGAGGGCAGAAGCACUGUGAAUUUUUGAUCAUUUACUAUUUAAGUCGUUGAAAUGAUAUGACAGUGGCCAUGCAUCUUUAAUGUAUAGGAGAUUCAAAUUCCUUCUCUGCAGAAGGCAAUGAAAUGAAUAUAGUUUAUACUCUGGUCAGACCAUCUUUUUUUUUUUUUUUUUUUUUUUUUUUUCUCUGUUUGAAGCUAUGUCAGAUUCUUUCAUCUGGAAAGGGGAAACGUACACCAGGUUUUAUUGCAUAACAUCACUUGGCUAUUUUUAGCUAUCUGCACUUCACAAAAUUAGUCUUGUGUUUGUGCUGCUGGAUGAAAUGAAUCCCCAGACUGUGCCUCCUGUAUGCAGAGACAUGCACCCAGGAUGUGCUGUAGUGUGCCGUGUUCAUCUGAAAAGAUGAGCACACACACUGCAGACAUAGCAGCUCUGCCUGCUGGCAGAGAGCUGACGACUGGCCUUUAAGCUGAUUGAUUAGAUAACCUUUUGCGCAUUUUGAAGCAUUUUUCUGCCUUUGGUUUGAAGUUGGAUUCUCUUGAUAGCCCUUUUUUAUUUAUCUACAUCUGCUUAAAUCAGUCGUUUUUUUUUUUCAGAGAAUUCUGUGUUCCCUCUGGAAGCAAAUAAAAACAAUACUCAGUGAAGACUUCUUUGAUGU